GACGAACGCUGGCGGCGUGCUUAACACAUGCAAGUCGAACGGAAAGGCCUUUUCGGAGGUACUCGAGUGGCGAACGGGUGAGUAACACGUGGGUGAUCUGCCCUGCACUCUGGGAUAAGCCUGGGAAACUGGGUCUAAUACCGGAUAGGACCGCACCUUAGUGUGUGUGGUGGAAAGAUUUUUCGGUGUAGGAUGAGCCCGCGGCCUAUCAGCUUGUUGGUGGGGUAAUGGCCUACCAAGGCGGCGACGGGUAGCCGGACUGAGAGGUUGGUCGGCCACAUUGGUACUGAGAUACGGCCCAGACUCCUACGGGAGGCAGAAGUGGGGAAUAUUGCACAAUGGGCGCAAGCCUAAUGCAGCGACGCCGCGUGGGGGAUGACGGCCUUCGAGUUGUAAACUCCUUUCGCCAGGGACGAAGCGUUUUGUGACGGUAACUGGAGAAGAAGCCCCGGCUAACUACGUG
RNAcentral lists this ribosomal RNA (463 nucleotides) under uncultured bacterium. Its description in RNAcentral is "partial 16S ribosomal RNA". It matches the Rfam family "Bacterial small subunit ribosomal RNA", at positions 28 to 507 of the family's 1533-position model. The record is from RNAcentral.